This 883-nucleotide long non-coding RNA is filed under the name Fukomys damarensis (Damara mole-rat). Its description in RNAcentral is "lncRNA (ENSFDAG00000032233.1)". The record is from RNAcentral. Lineage: Eukaryota; Metazoa; Chordata; Mammalia; Rodentia; Bathyergidae.
CAGCAGUGGGGAAGCAGGGAGUCGAGGUAAAGAAAAAUAAGCAAAAGCCACGUUAUGGGUGCCAAGCAGUCCCAAUCGGCAAUGGAGAUGGCAAGCAUCCAAAUCUAGAUUGUAAUCGCUCCUGACUUCCGCUGUCUUGCUGCGCAAAGUGCAAAGGAAGCAACUUUUAUUUCCUUUUGAGCUGCCUGCUCCCGGUCUCCCUUGCUCUCCUCCCAGCCUUCAGAGGCUCUGCCGGCCCCUGGGAUCCUGACAGCCUGACUCCAAAGCCCUGCCUGCUGAUACCCAGCCCGCUCCAGCUGUUGCUUCUGACACCAUGGAUCUCGCCUUCCUCUUAGGUUCCCAUGGUGGAGAGCUUUCACCUUUUCCCUGAAAGGAAGAGUCUGCAGCUUCUCCCAGGUAUACGUGAAUUCCAGGAUCAUGUCCCUUGGGCCAUCGUUAGAGAAUGUAAGUCACUGUGUUGCAGGCCCAAUGAUAUUGGCACAGUCACCUGAGACCAAGCUGGCUGGCAGUGAUGUGGCAGGGGCUGUGUGAUGGUGUAGUUGCCCGGAAAGGGGUGAGUAUAUUGGGUAUGCAGGGCGUGGUGAGGCCGGGUGCUCUGCUGUGCUGCCUGAAGGCAUGAAGUCACAAACUCAUCAGAGCUUCUUUCCAGAACUUUCUGUCUUGUGUUUUUAUUGCUAUUGGUGGUAACUGAAAUUUUGAAUGACGGGACUCCUGUCUCACGACUGCUCCCAAUAGGAAACAGGUAUUUCCGUUGCACAUUACCUAUGCAGCAAAUGUCUUCCAAUGACGUCUAUGCCCAGCAGUUAGGUUGAAAUCAAAGUAUUUGACCAUAUUGAUGCCUUAAUAAACACACACAACACUCUCUCACAUGCAAAUUUCCCCA